AGCCUUUAUGUGUUGCCUGUUCAUUUCCUUUUCAGAAUGAACAUGGUGUCAGAAAAGGCGCACAUUAACUCUUAUUGUGAUCUUAAAUGGUUGUCAAAGUACUUCCGUUAAAUAAGCUCAACAAUAAGAACAUGA
Danio rerio (zebrafish) is the source of this 135-nucleotide small nucleolar RNA. NCBI's taxonomy places the organism in Eukaryota, Metazoa, Chordata, Actinopteri, Cypriniformes, Danionidae. The record is from Ensembl.